CUAUACAUGCAGUCGAGCGACUGAUUAGGAAGCUUGCUUCUAUGACGUUAGCGGCGGACGGGUGAGUAACACGUGGGCAACCUGCCUGAUAAGACUGGGAUAACUUCGGGAAACCGAAGCUAAUACCGGAUAGGAUCUUCUCCUUCAUGGGAGAUGAUUGAAAGAUGGUUUCGGCUAUCACUUACAGAUGGGCCCGCGGUGCAUUAGCUAGUUGGUGAGGUAACGGCUCACCAAGGCAACGAUGCAUAGCCGACCUGAGAGGGUGAUCGGCCACACUGGGACUGAGACACGGCCCAGACUCCUACGGGAGGCAGCAGUAGGGAAUCUUCCGCAAUGGACGAAAGUCUGACGGAGCAACGCCGCGUGAGUGAUGAAGGCUUUCGGGUCGUAAAACUCUGUUGUUAGGGAAGAACAAGUACGAGAGUAACUGCUCGUACCUUGACGGUACCUAACCAGAAAGCCACGGCUAACUACGUGCCAGCAGCCGCGGUAAUACGUAGGUGGCAAGCGUUAUCCGGAAUUAUUGGGCGUAAAGCGCGCGCAGGCGG
Molecule: ribosomal RNA, 548 nt
Filed under: Bacillus sp. (in: firmicutes)
Lineage: Bacteria; Bacillati; Bacillota; Bacilli; Caryophanales; Bacillaceae
Description: bacterial SSU rRNA
Rfam family: Bacterial small subunit ribosomal RNA
Source: RNAcentral